GACACGUAAACCCUUCGAAAGCUGCCAAUCAUUUCCGGUCUGGCUUACGACAUCAUUGUAUAUGAUUAUAUUGGAUUUAUAUUGCAAUACUUGGGAGAAUGAGGGCGCUGUUGUCGUCUUCAAGCAGGACAUGUAAAUCCUACAUAUGACGAUAUAAUCAUCUAUAGUGAUGUCGUAAAUCAGACCGGGAUCAAUUGACAGCUUUCAAAGGGUUUACUUGUC
RNAcentral lists this microRNA precursor (222 nucleotides) under Vriesea carinata. Its description in RNAcentral is "miR10204 stem-loop (vca-MIR10204)". Lineage: Eukaryota; Viridiplantae; Streptophyta; Magnoliopsida; Poales; Bromeliaceae. The record is from miRBase by way of RNAcentral.